UCUAAUCAUGAGGACCCUUUUUCUCCACUGCAGACCACGUUAAGAUGUCUGGCUGCGGUGUGGUUGUUACGAUCUCUCUCUCUCCAGAAGACCAACUGUCCUUCUGAGGUCCACCAACAUCUGCUGCUCUUUAUCAGAUUUUCUGGAAAUUCUGUUAAAAUUUGUCCUAAAUUCAGACGGAAACCUCGCUAUAGUGGACAGAGGUGAUGAUGGAUCAAGAGACACCAGAUUCUCUGCAAACAAUGACCGGUGAUGGAUAUCCAACCUCUCCGAGCUCUUGUGGUGUCAUUAUACAGAAG
Thunnus maccoyii (southern bluefin tuna) is the source of this 299-nucleotide long non-coding RNA. RefSeq lists it as uncharacterized. The transcript has 3 exons. Lineage: Eukaryota; Metazoa; Chordata; Actinopteri; Scombriformes; Scombridae. The record is from RefSeq and is a predicted model, not a curated record.